RNAcentral lists this ribosomal RNA (497 nucleotides) under uncultured bacterium. RNAcentral's name for it is "partial 16S ribosomal RNA". It matches the Rfam family "Bacterial small subunit ribosomal RNA", at positions 28 to 507 of the family's 1533-position model. The record is from RNAcentral.
GAUGAACGCUGGCGGCGUGCCUAAUACAUGCAAGUCGAGCGAACAGAUGAGGAGCUUGCUCCUCUGACGUUAGCGGCGGACGGGUGAGUAACACGUGGAUAACCUACCUAUAAGACUGGGAUAACUUCGGGAAACCGGAGCUAAUACCGGAUAAUAUAUUGAACCGCAUGGUUCAAUAGUGAAAGACGGUUUUGCUGUCACUUAUAGAUGGAUCCGCGCCGCAUUAGCUAGUUGGUAAGGUAACGGCUUACCAAGGCAACGAUGCGUAGCCGACCUGAGAGGGUGAUCGGCCACACUGGAACUGAGACACGGUCCAGACUCCUACGGGAGGCAGCAGUAGGGAAUCUUCCGCAAUGGGCGAAAGCCUGACGGAGCAACGCCGCGUGAGUGAUGAAGGUCUUCGGAUCGUAAAACUCUGUUAUGAGGGAAGAACAAAUGUGUAAGUAACUAUGCACGUAUUGACGGUACCUAAUCAGAAAGCCACGGCUAACUACGUG